This is a long non-coding RNA of Platichthys flesus (European flounder), 307 nucleotides long. RefSeq lists it as uncharacterized. The record is from RefSeq and is a predicted model, not a curated record. NCBI's taxonomy places the organism in Eukaryota, Metazoa, Chordata, Actinopteri, Pleuronectiformes, Pleuronectidae. The transcript is spliced from 3 exons.
AGACCUGUGGGUGAUCAAUAUGAAGAGACAGAACUGGAUUCCGAGCCUCUGCAGUCAAUACUUGAGAGACAACACUUGAGCAAUGACAAAAGGGUGACUCAGACAGCCUGCACCAGUGGAUGUCCAACAUGAGGAGACAGAACAGGACUCCAACAAGACUGAACACUAAGUUUCAUCACCUAUGCACUGACUCCAGGGACGGACGAGCCUGAAGGACUCAGCUGUGCUGACGGUGUUCUGUCUCUUAUGGGGAAUUAGAAAAAUAAAGCACUGGGUUUUUAUCUAAAGUGUAUCAAAUCAGAUUGUA